CAAUAGCGUAUAUUAAAGUUGUUGCGGUUAAAAAGCUCGUAGUUGGAUUUCUGCUGAGAACGGCCGGUCCGCCCUUUGGGUGUGUAUCUGGCUCUUUCUUGGCAUCUUCUUGGUGAACGUUGCUGCACUUGACUGUGUGGAGCGCUACCCAGGACUUUUACUUUGAGGAAAUUAGAGUGUUUCAAGCAGGCAUACGCCUUGAAUACAUUAGCAUGGAAUAAUAAGAUAGGACCUCGGUUCUAUUUUGUUGGUUUCUAGAGCUGAGGUAAUGAUUAAUAGGGAUAGUUGGGGGCAUUCGUAUUUAACUGUCAGAGGUGAAAUUCUUGGAUUUGUUAAAGACGGGCUACUGCGAAAGCAUUUGCCAAGGAUGUUUUCAUUGA
RNAcentral lists this ribosomal RNA (380 nucleotides) under uncultured eukaryote. RNAcentral's name for it is "partial 18S ribosomal RNA". It matches the Rfam family "Eukaryotic small subunit ribosomal RNA", at positions 592 to 976 of the family's 1831-position model. The record is from RNAcentral.